This is a long non-coding RNA of Chelonia mydas (Green sea turtle), 952 nucleotides long. RefSeq lists it as uncharacterized. The transcript is spliced from 3 exons. NCBI's taxonomy places the organism in Eukaryota, Metazoa, Chordata, Testudines, Cheloniidae. The record is from RefSeq and is a predicted model, not a curated record.
AACUGGGGGCAGACCAGAGAAGAGAGCAGACCGGCGCCCUGUAGGUCCAGCAGCAGAGAGCUGAGGGCAAGACAGAAUCUCUCCACACGACAACUGCCCAAAGGUGAAAGCCCUAGGACACAGCUGGCCCAAGAAGGUGGGUGGGCCAUACCACUGAAGGAAGAAUUUGCUGCCCAAGAGAGGAAGAGAGCUAUACACACCCAUGCAAAGCUGCCUUGUGGUGAGCAGACACCCUUCACUCCGCCUAAAUGCAGAUGGUGACUGUGGGACCAUUGCGGGGGGCAGGCAGGAUGUGGCCCAGGGAGGGCAGCCAUAAGCAGCCCAAGAUGUCAGAUCACUCAUAGCCCUCAAAGAGUCCUGGGUUGGAGCCCAGUGGUGUGGGAGGGCCUGGACUCCCUUACCAACAACCCCUCUGCAAGUCAUGAGCCUACGCCCUGACCACUAGGCAAUGCUACCCUACUGACCAACCCCUGAGAGAGGACCGUCACAGGAUGUCUUAUCUGAUUAUUUUCCCACACAGAGAAACUUCAUUCUUCAAACUGUCAGCACCAUCUGCCUUUGUAGUCAUAUCCUGACUGACUCAGUUUGCAACUACAUGCCGCAAGAAGGAAAACCAUACUGCUUGAAUAUAAUGUCCAGCAAACCAAUUUUUACCUAGGGAAGUAAUUUAAGAAUAGAGUCAUAUUAAGUAGGAGCAAUUCACUUCCAUAGGGUGUCCUGAACCAGUUAAAACAACUGACGACAACAUAUGGUGCCCAACCUAAAUCCUAAACCCGAACACCUCAGACUUUGGGGAAGUUCAGAUCGUGAUCCAAAUUUUGCAUCUCAGGCCCAUCCAUCACUCAAGAACAGGCCAAGGUCUUCUGGCCCCAUCUGGUUAAUUUAUCUUAGUAACAUGUACUGAAUUUUUCAUGGAUUACUUGGGUUAUGAGGAUUAUCCAUAUUAUUUCUG